UCACUCCAGGUCGCCAUGUUGA
Molecule: non-coding RNA, 22 nt
Filed under: Arabidopsis thaliana (thale cress)
Lineage: Eukaryota; Viridiplantae; Streptophyta; Magnoliopsida; Brassicales; Brassicaceae
Source: RNAcentral